AAGGUUGAUUUCAUUUUCUCAGAAAAUAUUCCAAAGCUCUCUCUAUUCUUUGUGCUUUCUUCUUCCUUAAAACUUUCUACAAAAGCCAUGGCAGCUAUGCUAACAUGGUAUCAAAGCUACGGCUCUUGAUCCUAUGGACCUACUCAUGCUUAUAGUUACUUUCCUUCAAUCUCUAGCUUCCACUUUUAUCAGUUUCAGAAGAUUCAAUUAAUUCCCAAUUUCAAACCCUAACCCCCAAAUUGGAUAUCACCUUAAUCAUGAAGCCUCUGCCAUGUGCUCUAGUCGUCAUUAAAAGUUGUGUUUGAUCCUUCUCUUCGCUUCUGCAUUCAAGUCUCUUCAAGCUUCGUCAAGAGAAACGUCGACAUUGGCUAAGAUCUACAAGAAAGGGUGCAAAGGUAUGAUCCACUACUUCAAUAAUUAAGUUCCUACUUCACAGCAAACAACAGACAUUCUCACAAAAGGGCGACAUACUUCAAGCUUCAAGGUGCAUUCCAAUCUCAAUGUUUUGACUCACACUGAUAUUGAGGGGAGGUGUUAACGAGUAUAACUACUCAUGAUCGUGUAAAAGUCAAGGUUUGCUGUUGUUGUUUGCUUAUGUGGCAAUUUUAAUUACUUAGCUUUGUUUUCUCUCAUCUACUAUAAAUAAUGUUAGUAUGUAAGAACUCUGUAAGGUUGAUUUCAUUUUCUCAAAAAAUAUUCCAAAGCUCUCUUUAUUCUC
Molecule: RNA transcript, 718 nt
Organism: Fragaria vesca subsp. vesca
Lineage: Eukaryota; Viridiplantae; Streptophyta; Magnoliopsida; Rosales; Rosaceae
Exons: 2
Source: RefSeq, a predicted model, not a curated record